RNAcentral lists this ribosomal RNA (442 nucleotides) under uncultured bacterium. RNAcentral's name for it is "partial 16S ribosomal RNA". It matches the Rfam family "Bacterial small subunit ribosomal RNA", at positions 338 to 795 of the family's 1533-position model. The record is from RNAcentral.
CCUACGGGAGGCAGCAGUGGGGGAUAUUGGGCAAUGGACGCAAGCCUGACCCAGCAACGCCGCGUGGGCGAAGAAGGCUUUCGGUUUGUAAACCUCUAUUGGCAGGGAAGAAUAAAUGACGGUACCUGUGUAAGAAGCCCCGGCUAAAUACGUGCCAGCAGCCGCGGUAAUACGUAGGGUGCAAGCGUUGUCCGGAUUUACUGGGUGUAAAGGGCGGGCAGCCGGGUUGGCAAGUCUGAUGUGAAAUCCUGCGGCUCAACCGCGGAACUGCAUUGGGAACUGGCGAGCUUGAGUGCUGGAGAGGAAGGCGGAAUUCCUAGUGUAGCGGUGAAAUGCGUAGAUAUUAGGAGGAACACCAGUGGCGAAGGCGGCCUGCUGGACAGUGACUGACGGUGAGGCUCGAAAGCGUGGGGAGCAAACAGGAUUAGAUACCCCUGUAGUC